GGGAAGGAUGGCCUAUUGUGCU
RNAcentral lists this non-coding RNA (22 nucleotides) under Rattus norvegicus (Norway rat). Lineage: Eukaryota; Metazoa; Chordata; Mammalia; Rodentia; Muridae. The record is from RNAcentral.